This is a long non-coding RNA of Carassius auratus (goldfish), 2472 nucleotides long. RefSeq lists it as uncharacterized. The transcript has 6 exons. The record is from RefSeq and is a predicted model, not a curated record. NCBI's taxonomy places the organism in Eukaryota, Metazoa, Chordata, Actinopteri, Cypriniformes, Cyprinidae.
AAUCAUGGCUGGAAUUGAACUCAAGAGCUCAGGAUGUACAUCACUGAUUCAUAACAUCACCGUUUACUCUCUCAAUCAGGAAUACCAGAAACACUGAGUCAGGAAAGCAAUCGGGUUUGUACAGCUGAAGGAAGUUAGAUUGGAAGUCUCACGGGGUUUUAAGACGGACGGGAUGAAGAGAGCAGGAAGAAUCGCGGACACACCUUUAUUAAAUACGAAUGGAUGAAGGAUUGGGCUCAUAGAUGUGGUUGAAUGGGCUGUGAUGGGUUGUUAUGGAGCAGGUGGUUCUCUUCUGAAGCCUACACCUCCCGUACACCCCUGGGACCCCGAACGCACGGCUGAUGUAACACCACAGGUGUAGACGGGUCUGGAGUCACCUGAGUGGAGACUUAAGGCUACAUUCAAGCUGCUUUUAUCUUCAGUCCGUUGUCAAAGGCAGGGGUCGUCGGGUGUCGGACCCUGAGGAAACAGUAUCCCGUGCUUCCCCUCGAGCACUUCCUGUGCGUGUCACUCAAGAGCCGGGCUCGUGUCUCUGAUCAAAGGCCACGAACAGGAGCAGACGACAGGGUGAUGCUGAAGGAUGUCCUGAACGGCUGGGUCAGGGCCAGAUGUCCAGCACAGUCUCACUUCAUCACAUUAAUCCAGCCUCGGAUCCAGACAUGUUUCACAUCCGUCCAACACAAACACCAUCCUUGGAAAUGACAUGACAAGUGUAGACUAAUGCAAUUGAAGUAUCCAAAUGAAUACCCUAGCAGUAUGGAGUAUAUGGAAACAGACGUUGCCAGCAAUCAGGAGGUGAUGCAGAAGACUCGUGGGAAUUGAAGCUGGAGUCACUGAAGACAGUCCAGCAGAAGUUGGAGUUUUAAAGGAUAAAGUUCUUCAGGACCUAGCAGUUUACAGUCUUCUCUUCAUGAGGUUGCAAUGCCUCCAUUAGUACAUCAACUGAGAGGGAGUAUAUUUCUUUCUUCCUCCCGCUGUGCAUGCAGUAACAUUACUCAUCCAUGUGACAUGCAUGUGUUGUGUCUGCUCAUCUGAACAGAUUGCCUGGGAAACACAUCAGUGUCUGUGCCGGCUGCUCUGUUCAGAGAUAACAGUGUGUCAUGAGAACAAUUGGGCUCCAGAUAGGACUGUGCAACUCGAUCCGUCUUUAAACGAAGCGAGACAAAGUCUCAGCAUUCGGUUUCCAUCACAUCAGCAUUCAAAUGCUUUUGCAACCCAGGAAGGUAUAAUGGUGGGUGUGUAAGGUUACGGUUACCAGGAAAUGCACUGUCAUGAUUGCAUCAGAAAUGGUUGAAGGGUUUGCCAUCUGCAUUUUGUGAAUGCAGAAGUGCUCAUGUACUAUACACUGUAAGGCCAACCAAACUAUUGCACACAUGCAUUACAAUAUCCUGCACCAUUGUAAUUUAGUUUUGAACAAGACUGUGAAUAAGUGUAUCUGACCUCUUGAACUUCAUACACUUCCUUUUUUUUCCUAUCCACAACUACAACAACAACAACAACAACAAAAACAUUGUGCAACAAGCUGAUAGUGAUAGUCUAUAUACAUGUGUAUACUUCGUCAUCACUCAGAAUCUGUUUUACAAACAUCUUUGACAAAAUAACCAAGGCAUUUCCACAAAAUCUUUAUUUAUUUGUAACCACUGGAGCUGGAAAGAUGAUUACGACUAAUAUUUAGUAGGUCGCAGCUGUCAGAAAUCAGUAGGAGUUGACUUCAGCACAUCUCUAGUGUCUCACACUGCGCUGCUGUGAUCUUGCUCCGCUCUUCUUCAGGUCUCUUCUAGAGUUCGGUGACACUAUAUAUGUGUGUGUAUUAAAAAUUCAAAAUACAAAACAGUACAGUAUAAUUGAAGGUAUAAAAAAUAGCUAACUCCCAUAAAUACUAAGUAAUUGUAUACUCAUCUUUGUCAUGCAUUCUUUUCUGACACUUUUCAGAUUUUCUAAGCAAGAUGUAUUUAGUGAAAACAUGUUUUGUGUGUCACAUGUUCAGUGUCGCCGAAGGCUUGUUUGACCAGCAACAUUUGGAACAAAAGGGUCUGCUUGCUGAACCUGAAGAACAGCUACAGCUCGUGUGUGUGUGUGUGUGUGUGUGUGUGUGACGUAUGCAAACAUGUCAUUCUGUCAUGAGUCACAGCUGUCACCUGAUUGUUACGGCCAUCUGAUGAAGCACUAGAGCAGGUGUUCAUGGGAGGUUUGGGCGGUGUGGGUGUGUGGUUCUCAGCUUUCCGAGAAAAAAAGGUUGGGUGAUUUCUGUGUCAUCUAGGGUAAUGAAAGACCUCAUGCAUUUAGGAUUAUUUAGUCCAGUUUCUCACCGCAAACAAUGCACAAUUAAUCUUACCCACUUUACAGACUUUCAUGCAUAAACUUUUGAAUUACUGUACUGUUGAGCAGUAACUAAGAAAGAAACAAGAAGGAAAAAAAUAUAUUAAAUACAAUGAGAUGUCUGAAGAUAAUGGUGAUGUUUGCCCAUGCAAA